This 317-nucleotide long non-coding RNA is filed under the name Elaeis guineensis (African oil palm). Its description in RNAcentral is "long non-coding RNA (EGUI_LNC073281)". Lineage: Eukaryota; Viridiplantae; Streptophyta; Magnoliopsida; Arecales; Arecaceae. The record is from RNAcentral.
CGGUAGAUGAAUGAAGAAGCUCAUGGUUGGAAAGGCCCGGAUGGCAUUAUGGAAGCUCGGACGGUCGAGGGAGUUCAGAAAGACGCCACACAAGGUCAGAAGCCAGAAAAGCCCUAGAAGGAUCGGCCUUUUACAAACUUCAGCUGGGGGUAUUUUAUACCCAACACCAGUCCUCCUACUUCUAAGUUUGGAUUCCGAAUGAAGAAAGUACAGAAAAAUUCUCACAACUGAAGUUGCCUCUCUUGAUUUUUGUACUCGGUGAUUUUCAGAUAUUUUGGCGUUUGGCGCGCUGGUGCUGGAGUCUUUUCAAAUCAAGG